CCUAGCCGUAAACAUUGGUAGUGUAACACGUCCGCUACCCGCCCGGGUACUACGAGCAUUAGCUUGAAACCCAAAGGACUUGGCGGUGCUUUAGAUCCACCUAGAGGAGCCUGUUCUAGAACCGAUAACCCCCGUUCAACCUCACCCUCCCUUGUUUAUCCCGCCUAUAUACCGCCGUCGUCAGCUUACCCUAUGAAGGUUUAAUAGUAAGCAAGAUUGGCACAGCCUAAAACGUCAGGUCGAGGUGUAGCGUAUGGGAGGGCAAGAAAUGGGCUACAUUUCCUACCAUAGGAAACACGAACGAUGCACUGAAACGUUCAUCUGAAGGGGGAUUUAGCAGUAAGCAGGAAAUAGAGCGUCCCGCUGAAAUUGGCCCUGAAGCGCGCAC
RNAcentral lists this ribosomal RNA (388 nucleotides) under Etheostoma okaloosae (Okaloosa darter). RNAcentral's name for it is "partial 12S ribosomal RNA". It matches the Rfam family "Bacterial small subunit ribosomal RNA", at positions 795 to 1386 of the family's 1533-position model. Lineage: Eukaryota; Metazoa; Chordata; Actinopteri; Perciformes; Percidae. The record is from RNAcentral.